GAUGAACGCUGGCGGCGUGCCUAAUACAUGCAAGUCGAGCGAACGGACGAGAAGCUUGCUUCUCUGAUGUUAGCGGCGGACGGGUGAGUAACACGUGGAUAACCUACCUAUAAGACUGGGAUAACUUCGGGAAACCGGAGCUAAUACCGGAUGAUAUUUUGAACCGCUUGGUUCAAAAGUGAAAGACGGUCUUGCUGUCACUUAUAGAUGGAUCCGCGCUGCAUUAGCUAGUUGGUAAGGUAACGGCUUACCAAGGCAACGAUGCAUAGCCGACCUGAGAGGGUGAUCGGCCACACUGGAACUGAGACACGGUCCAGACUCCUACGGGAGGCAGCAGUAGGGAAUCUUCCGCAAUGGGCGAAAGCCUGACGGAGCAACGCCGCGUGAGUGAUGAAGGUCUUCGGAUCGUAAAACUCUGUUAUUAGGGAAGAACAAAUGUGUAAGUAACUGUGCACAUCUUGACGGUACCUAAUCAGAAAGCCACGGCUAACUACGUG
RNAcentral lists this ribosomal RNA (497 nucleotides) under uncultured bacterium. Its description in RNAcentral is "partial 16S ribosomal RNA". It matches the Rfam family "Bacterial small subunit ribosomal RNA", at positions 28 to 507 of the family's 1533-position model. The record is from RNAcentral.